GGGGUGACGCGCAUGAAUGGAUU
RNAcentral lists this unclassified non-coding RNA (23 nucleotides) under Dictyostelium discoideum. The record is from RNAcentral. Lineage: Eukaryota; Evosea; Eumycetozoa; Dictyosteliales; Dictyosteliaceae.